RNA transcript from Rosa rugosa (rugosa rose), 871 nucleotides. RefSeq lists it as uncharacterized. The transcript has 7 exons. The record is from RefSeq and is a predicted model, not a curated record. NCBI's taxonomy places the organism in Eukaryota, Viridiplantae, Streptophyta, Magnoliopsida, Rosales, Rosaceae.
UUCCGCGACCUUUAGUCAUUUCAGUCUCGUCUCUCACCCUCUCUUUCUUCUCUUCUCUGGGCCGCCUCUCUUUCUUCUCUUCUCUGUCAAUUUCUCUUCAUCAAGAAGGACUAGAUCGAUGUCCAAGGAGCAGAUCGGGUUGAUGAGUCAUCGGGUUUCAUUUGAAAUCCAAGUAUGGUGCCAUGGUGGUUGACGUCUGAGCACGACCUUCGCCGCCGCCGAAAGAAGAACCAAAUGGAUUUAUUUUCUGAGAUUUUGGGUAUGACGAUGCAUGAAGACUCGUGCUUGAUCAGGAUCUCAAUGGGGAACUAUCAAAAGCAAAGCAAAGCUAUGUCCGAUGCUCUCGGUCAAUUCUCAGGGAAGAAGCCCGUAGGGCUGGAUUGCACCAGCUGGCUUUUUGUGGUUCGUGAGGUACUGAGAUUUGACCUUUAUGGGAAAGACUACUUCAUUGUCAUGAAUGCUUCAGAGAUCACUGACAAACUUGGUCUCCACACUUUCGUCAACGCCAAUGAUCGCGAGGGCUGCAGUUUCUGCUUACUGGAUGUUGUCCUAUUUGAGUGCAUGCCUUGGGUGGGGUUUCAACCAUGUCCAGCUUCCAACCACUAAUGAAUUUUAUAGUGCUGGGAAAGCUAUGUUUGGCUGUUCUGAGGGCAGGAGGUGAUAUUGGGGAAGAAUGGUGUGGUGAAUGUUUUGGAAUUGGGUCCUCUCUCAAGACUUUGAGAAGGAAGGAUUUGAAUUAUUGAAGCCUGGCAUUGGAACCAUUCUUAUACCCAUCUAAAUUUUGCUCGUGUUGGUGUUGUAUUUUUAUUGCUGCUGUUUUUAUUGUCUUAAUGUUGUAUUUUUAUCGGAGUAGGACGAAAGUUGUUCUUAU